RNAcentral lists this ribosomal RNA (1093 nucleotides) under Hynobius nebulosus (clouded salamander). RNAcentral's name for it is "partial 16S ribosomal RNA". It matches the Rfam family "Bacterial large subunit ribosomal RNA", at positions 135 to 2104 of the family's 2925-position model. Lineage: Eukaryota; Metazoa; Chordata; Amphibia; Caudata; Hynobiidae. The record is from RNAcentral.
GUAGUAAAUCCAGCCUACUUCACCUCAAUAGAUUAUAAUACUUUUAAUUAAUUAAAUAAAACAUUUUAUUAUUUUAGUAAAGGAGAUAGAAAAAUUUAAUAGCGCAAUAUAAAUAGUACUGCAAAGGAAAAAUGAAAUAGAAAUUAAAUAAAUCAUAAAAACAAUAAAAAGCAAAGACUAAACCUUUUACCUUUUGCAUCAUGGUCUAGUAAGUUUAACCUAACAUAAAGAACUUAAGUUAGACAUCCCGAAACUAAACGAGCUACUACGAAGCAGCAAGACGAGCCAACCCUUCUCUGUGGCAAAAGAGUGGGAUGACUUCCUAGUAGUGGUGAUAAACCUAACGAGUCUAGUAAUAGCUGGUUACUUAAUAAAUGAACUUAAAUUCAACUUAAAAUAUUUUUAAACAAACUAAGUAAAAAUAGUAUUUUAAAGUUAAUUAAUAGAGGUUCAGCUCUAUUAAUAAAGGAUACAACCUAAAAUAAUGAAUAAUGAUUAUAAUAAUUAAAGAAAUUAACCAUGUAGGCCUAAAAGCAGCAAUCAAAAUAAAAGCGUUAAAGCUUAAUUUAAUAAAUCUUAUUAUAACAAUAAAUAAUCUUAAUUCACCAAAACUAUUAAGUCAAUCUAUUUUUAUAGAUGUGAUGAUACUAGAAUGAGUAAUAAGAAGAUAUUCUCUUAGUGCAAGUGUAAAUCAGAACGAAUAUCUCACUGAUAAUUAACGAACCUUUUGAGGGAAAAAUAAUACUUUGCAAGAAAAACCUAUUUAACCCAUCGUUAACCCAACACAGGAGUACAUUAGAAAGAUUAAAAAUAUAGGAAGGAACUCGGCAAACAUGAACUUCGCCUGUUUACCAAAAACAUCGCCUCUUGCAACUAAGGUAUAAGAGGUCCUGCCUGCCCAGUGACAUUAAGUUCAACGGCCGCGGUAUUAUGACCGUGCAAAGGUAGCGUAAUCACUUGUCUUUUAAAUAAAGACCAGUAUGAAUGGCAAGACGAAAGUUCAACUGUCUCCCUAAAUUAAUCAAUGAAAUUGAUCUUUCCGUGCAGAAGCGGAAAUAAAACUAUAAGACGAGAAGACCCUAUGGAGCUUUAA